UACGAAGGGUGCAAGCGUUACUCGGAAUUACUGGGCGUAAAGCGUGCGUAGGUGGUUUGUUAAGUCUGAUGUGAAAGCCCUGGGCUCAACCUGGGAAUUGCAUUGGAUACUGGCAGGCUAGAGUGCGGUAGAGGAUGGCGGAAUUCCCGGUGUAGCAGUGAAAUGCGUAGAGAUCGGGAGGAACAUCUGUGGCGAAGGCGGCCAUCUGGACCAGCACUGACACUGAUGCACGAAAGCUGGGGGAGCAAACAGG
RNAcentral lists this ribosomal RNA (253 nucleotides) under uncultured bacterium. Its description in RNAcentral is "partial 16S ribosomal RNA". It matches the Rfam family "Bacterial small subunit ribosomal RNA", at positions 524 to 776 of the family's 1533-position model. The record is from RNAcentral.